GACAGAACCAUGAAGUACUGUUACAGUGGGUAUAGAGAAUAAAGAAUCACCCCCCUUUAAAAUAAACACAUUUUGUUGCUUUGCAGCCUGAAAUG
Molecule: long non-coding RNA, 95 nt
Organism: Sinocyclocheilus anshuiensis
Lineage: Eukaryota; Metazoa; Chordata; Actinopteri; Cypriniformes; Cyprinidae
Exons: 3
Source: RefSeq, a predicted model, not a curated record